RNAcentral lists this long non-coding RNA (813 nucleotides) under Manihot esculenta (cassava). RNAcentral describes it as "long non-coding RNA (MESC_LNC004178)". The record is from RNAcentral. Lineage: Eukaryota; Viridiplantae; Streptophyta; Magnoliopsida; Malpighiales; Euphorbiaceae.
AUACAACUGUCAUGUCCACAACUAACUAUUACAUAAACACUUCAUAUCUCUGGCUAACCUCCUGGUCUACCCUGUACCUGCACAUCUGGGGUUAGGGGAGAGGGGUGAGCUACAAAGCCCAGUGAGCAGAAUAGAGAAAACAUAUAUUACAAUUUCAUGCCAUUAUGUAAUGCAACACAUCACAACAAAUCACAUCUCGGAUGGUAUUGUCACCAAUAGUCCUCUACAUAGUCCAACUGUGCCGGGACGUAGAAUGGGUACAACCGGUCUUUCCCUUAACAUAACAUAUCAUACAGUCCAACUGUGCCAGGGACGUAGAAUGGGUACAACCUGGACUUCCAUACCAUAUCUCAUGCCGUAGCAUCAUCAUAUCAUAUGAGGACUAAGGAUCAUCCAAUGACCAAUCCACACCAACAUCAUAAAUGCAAUGCAACAUAUUCGUGGAUACUAAUGCAAACAACCUACUAUAUCUCAUGGCAUUCAUGAUGCAUGGAUCAUACUCAAAUUUCAUAUUUCAUUUAUUUUAAAACUUAAGGUUUAUUUCACUCACCUCUGGCUAGCUCUGACAAACUCUGUAGCAGCUGGCUCACUGCUGGGGUCCUCGGUUCCUCGGGUCCGAACCUACACAGGUGGACUCCAAUGAGGGACCAAACAUACAUAAACAUAACUCUAAUAUACUCCCCAAAAACCCCCUAUAACAUCAUGAAAUCAUCACAUAAAAACAUGCAAGAAAUGGCUGAACAGGGCACUUUCGGCGGCAGGUUCGGCGGCCGAAAGUCCCUCCAGAGCCGAAAGUCAGGCAGGUUCGGCGGC